UACGUAGGUCCUGAGCGUUGUCCGGAUUUAUUGGGCGUAAAGCGAGCGCAGGUGGUUUAUUAAGUCUGGUGUAAAAGGCAGUGGCUCAACCAUUGUAUGCAUUGGAAACUGGUAGACUUGAGUGCAGGAGAGGAGAGUGGAACUCCAUGUGUAGCGGUGAAAUGCGUAGAUAUAUGGAAGAACACCAGUGGCGAAAGCGGCUCUCUGGUCUGUAACUGACGCUGAGGUUCGAAAGCGUGGGUAGCAAACAGG
Molecule: ribosomal RNA, 252 nt
Filed under: uncultured bacterium
Lineage: Bacteria
Description: partial 16S ribosomal RNA
Rfam family: Bacterial small subunit ribosomal RNA
Source: RNAcentral